CCUGAUGGAAGACGCCUGAUGCCUGAUGGAAGACGCCUGAUGGAAGACGCCUGAUGCCGGAGACCCGAUACCUGACAGCCGAAGGAGGAAGUCUGAGGGCGGAGCUGUGAUGAAUGACGUCUGAGGAGGGAGGCUGCAGAGCGGAGGAGUGACGGCGCAUUUGGAGCAGGCGUGACUACAACCGGCAACGAUGCGCUAUGGAGAAGGCAGAGGACAACGCAUGCGUCAAAGGUAAUUAUGCGCAUGAUGUCCUAAAAUGCGUUCCGUAUACGGGAGCUGCAAGUGAAACAAAGUUACUGCUUUCUAUUGCAAGGUAUUGCUAGAAUCGGUCUUUCAAAUCCCAAAGUUGAAAUGACAUUUACUGUGCUGGUUUGGGGAGGCUUAGCCUCCCCUAGCCUUCAUUAAAAUCCGCCCAUGAAGUGGAUGUUUGUCCCUUUUCCUUCUUUGAGCGGGACAAGGAGCGGCAGCUGCAGAAAGAGAAGCGAUUGGAUGAACUUCGCAAAGUGGAAGUCUAUAAAUUCAAGGCUCAGCCUCUGCCACCAUUCUAUCACAUCAGCCCCUUUAAGAAGAAGGUGAGGUUGCCAAGCCAGAAGGAGCGAUUUGAGCUGGAGACAUACAAUGUGGCGUCAAGUCCUACUUAACCAUCCCAACAUCCCCAAGCUUCUCAGGCAGGUUUAAGUGCUGAUGCAGCUGAUGUUCCUGUGUUACAGCCAAAUCGAAAUUUUCUGGUAGUUGAUGCCCUUUUCAAGCCCUGGACUAUACACAUCCUAAUGAACAAACAUAUGUCCGGUAAAUAGUAGCAUGAAUACAGAGGCAUGUUUUUGCCCUGGGGGGGUGUUAUGUAAAUACUAAAUAUUAAUGGUAGGGAUGCACCAAAUCCACUAUUUGGGAUUCUGCCCAAUGCCUGGUGAAAGAUUUGACAAAAUACCGAACCAAAUCCUAAUUUGCAUAUGCAAAUUAGAAUCAGGGAAGGAGAAAGAGGAAAACAGAUCAUCUUUUGUGACGAUUUCCCUACCCGUCCUUAAUUUAUAUAUGCAAAUUAGGAUUUGGGUUCGGCCAGGCACAAGGAUUCGGCCGAGUCCUGCUGAAAA
This is a long non-coding RNA of Xenopus laevis (African clawed frog), 1091 nucleotides long. RefSeq lists it as uncharacterized. The record is from RefSeq and is a predicted model, not a curated record. The transcript has 2 exons. Lineage: Eukaryota; Metazoa; Chordata; Amphibia; Anura; Pipidae.